UUCUACAACAUUCGGAAACUAGUUCGGUGGCAUAUAUUAGUUUAUUUUAAGCUUAUAACUGUGAAUUUAGGGAGGGGUUAAACCAUAGACUUAAUAUCUUCACGUCGCCCAGGUUGUAUCUGUCUGACGGUGUGACAGUUUCAAAUGGGCGAGAUCUGGUUAAAGUGAGGGCUAAACGUUAGGUGGAUGUUUCAUUGCCUGAUCAAAAACCCUGUAAACUUAAAUAAACUGGUUGGAAAAUGUUUAGAGGUUAUCGUUUAAGAUCACUAAAGCACAUUUAUUAUUCUUAUGGGAGGCUUGAUAAAACUUGUCAUCUAAGCUUCAAAUAUGGUUCAAAGAUCACCUAAACACACUUUAAGAGGAGAUUUCACCAUAUUUUAGAAUGAUACAUACAAAGGAACAGCUUGGAUCAUCUGAGCACAUUUUUCCUGUUCCUGAUGAUCACUUAGGAUGUAAUCUAUGAAGUGAACAACACAGCCACCUUUGUUUUUAGAAAAUUCCUCAGGGGUACAUGUGGUGCUGCUUGUUGUUAUCUUACCAGUAUACAGUAUAUUGCAGUAUACAGUAUAUUGCAGUAUACAGUAUAUUGCAGUAUACAGUAUAUUGCAGUGCAGUAUACAGUAUAUUGCAGUAUACAGUAUAUUGCAGUAUACAGUAUAUUGCAGUAUACAGUAUAUUGCAGUAUACAGUAUAUUGCAGUAUACAAUUUCUUGAAUGACCACAGACAGGACAAACAAUGGUCAGUUCUCGCUGCAGAGUUGAGCUGUUAGUCUGGCACCUUUAAACCACUAAAUGACGGAGUAUUAGCGUCACUUGGAGAGAAAAAAAUGAGAAAAAAUAUUUUUAUGUUGCUCCCCUGUUUAAAGAUUAAAGCUCAAAUUACAAAAAAAGUGGAAAACAUAUUAUAGCAAUAAACUUGAAAUACCACUGGUGACAAGACCUGCAACAGCUGUGCGUCCUGUAAGUAGGUCAUUCUCCAUGUAUUAUUCGAAGCUCUAACCUGUUACUCAGUUGUUAGCUGCAGACAAUGAUGCAGUUAUUGGUUGUUUCUUACUCAACAGUCUUAAACCUAAAUUCAAAGCCACUUCUAUUUUUAAUAGAAAAAUAUUGACAGACAUACGUUUUUGCUCAAUAGUCCAUAGCUCUGUUUCAUUCUGCUUAGUUUGUCUUUGGCACUUAAAUUACUUCUUUUCUGUUUGUGUUCAUGCUUAAUGAUUUGUUUUAGAUCAGUUUGUAAAAUACAACAUAACCCCAUAUUUCAUGAAAGGAUUAAUUAACAGUAAGAUACGAACUUAUGAUAGUAUCAUUUUCUGUAUGUCAUUUUUUGGUCUAGGCUACAAAAACCUGCUGCAGUUAAUAAUGUACCAAGAACACAUGAUGCACCCUAGACAACGACCCCCAUGCCAGUGUGUAGGGUGUCUACUGUGCUGCUGCUCAGUUGUGAAAAACAGAAACUUGGAAACAGUGGUCACCUUUUCAGAAAGCACCUGAGAGAAGCAUUUUAUUUUUCUGACAACAAUCAAGAGACAUUUGCGGCGGCCUGCUUCUGUAAGGAAGGCAGACAAGCGUUCAGGAGUCACUAGCAUUGCCCAAUGUGCAACUCUCUUGUAAUGACAUGGUCCUCGAACUUCAUCCAAUAAUAUGGGAUCAAUAGAGCUUUGAUUAUGUAAAGCAGAUAUGUUAGUAUAAAAUUCAGGCUAAUUUGCAAUACUCUAACAAUAUUAACAGCAUUUACAUACUGAAUACCCUCAACAAACCGUCUUUUAUCGCAGGGAAGCAACAUGUUGACUGACAGCCAGACUGCAGCUGAUUGGUGCUAAAAACAACAUUUGAGGGUAGAGUAAAAUACUUGACAUGGACAACACUGAACAAACGGAAACCCUGGAGGCCAUAAAGAACUGGAGGAUGAAUACAAUGACAGCUCUCCAACUGAACUUUAAACUUUUGUUUAUGAAAAAAAGGAGGAGUAUGAAAAAUUCAGCUCAGAAAUGAUUGAUGUACAAAAUCUAAACAAUUUUGCCAGGUUUCAGGAAGACUAAUUAGUCUUUGUGGACACUAAAGAGUAUAGCCAAAGUAAAUGUACAACAGUGACCCUCUUGGUGGCCCCUGGCACCCUGUGGCAUCCUUGUGGCAGCCUUAUGGCCUGGGACAUCCAGCGUGUUUUUAAGCAUUUAUUUAUAAUUUUCUGUGAGUGACAAUUCAG
Molecule: long non-coding RNA, 2203 nt
Organism: Girardinichthys multiradiatus
Lineage: Eukaryota; Metazoa; Chordata; Actinopteri; Cyprinodontiformes; Goodeidae
Exons: 3
Source: RefSeq, a predicted model, not a curated record